This 1463-nucleotide unclassified non-coding RNA is filed under the name Hevea brasiliensis (rubber tree). Lineage: Eukaryota; Viridiplantae; Streptophyta; Magnoliopsida; Malpighiales; Euphorbiaceae. The record is from RNAcentral.
CUUUUACAUUGUAAGUUUCAUCCUCUGACACCUACUCUCUCGUUAUCCCUGUGCGGUUUCAUGGGCAAAAUGAUUAAAGCCGCUUAUUCUUUUAUGCUCUAUUUUGCCUUUCUAUUUAUCAUAGCAGAAGCAGAAUCAAUCAGCCCCAAGCCUCAUGCUCUGGACUCUUUCAAUCUUAGUUUAAUCCAGGUAUCACCAAAGUCAGUGAUAUUGUCUUGGCUUUUGUUUGUUUUCCCUGUUGCUGGGUCGUUAAAUUAAAUCUUCUGGUUUUGUAUUAUAUAUGGGAACUCGAUGAAAAAAGACUGUGGGAAGCUGCUCUUACCAAGUGAUAAUCUCAACAAGCUGUUCCUCACCCAAAUACACCCGCGAUCAGAUCAGUCUUGCUUUUGGAGACGCUUAUGGCAACCAGGUUCGCUUUUAAUUACUUUCCCUGAUUUUAAUUUUUGUGUUGAUUAAUUGAUUACUCUUUAGUUAAAAAUUAACAAAUUAUUUUGGAGAAACGUACUAUACAAAUCGAAUUGCAUCUUUCAUAGUAACAGAGAGAUCAACACAGAUGCAGAGCCAUAAUUAUCGAAUUCUUUCAUAUAAAUGGUGAUGGUGCGAUUAUUAGGUUUUUAAAGUUCAUAAAUAAGGUUGACCUGUGUUCAUAAAUGCAGUAAGGACGUGUCCAUGGCUGGGUCGUUAAUGUCUACGUCUAUCACUAACGAUAAAUGAGAUAGAUAAUAUUAUAAUAGAGUCUGUGUCUUGGAAACUUCUUAUCUACAGUUUGUACACUCACAUCCAAUCUCAUUGGUCGACCGACCCGAUUCCUAUUUUCAAACUAUACAAAUAUAAGCUUUUAAACAAAUUGUGAAUCAGAUUUAUGCGCCAAGGCUGGAUGAUCCAUCUACGAAGACUUUCGAGCGGUGCUCUUCUGAUACAUUUCAGUUAAGUGGACCAUGUGCCUAUCAGAUAUGUUAUGUUUAUCUGUAUAGAACUGGACCUGAUGGCUGGAAGCCUGAGACUGUGAAGAUUUAUGGGUAUAAUUCUUAUCCUGUUACAUUUGACUACAACAUUUUCAUUCCCAGAGAUAUUUGGUACGGAUUCAAUCUGUGCCAAAGUGCCUCUUCUGCACAUGUUGGAAGAGUUCAAGGAUGGUUUAUGUAUGUUUUUCUAUUAGUUGUUGUUGCUGUUAUAUUCUAAUUGUGGUUGUACACAUUCAGAUCAAUUAAGACCUUAUGGUAGUAAUGGACUUGAUAGUUGAAGUUUUAGCUGAUUGUUGUUGUAAUGGUAAAUAUUUCAUAGUAGUAAUUGCAUCAUUUUGUUGCUGCCAUAGUUAAGGACCUAAUGGGUGUUACGCUGCUGCAAAACAUCUUUGAGCUUUUGUAUCUUUCGAUCCAGAUCACAGCCAUUCAAAAGCUCCUAUUGUCGAAGCUUAAUUGUUUUGAUUUCACUAACAUAAUUUACAUAUUUACGGUGCAAAA